AAACUUGAGAGUUUGAUCCUGGCUCAGAACGAACGCUGGCGGCAGGCUUAACACAUGCAAGUCGAACGGUUGUAGCAAUACAGCAGUGGCAGACGGGUGAGUAACACGUGGGAACCUUCCUAGGGGUACGGAACAACUCAGGGAAACUUGAGCUAAUACCGUAUACGUCCGUGAGGAGAAAGAUUUAUCGCCCUUAGACGGGCCCGCGUAGGAUUAGGUAGUUGGUGGGGUAAUGGCCUACCAAGCCUACGAUCCUUAGCUGAUCUGAGAGGAUGAUCAGCCACACUGGGACUGAGACACGGCCCAGACUCCUACGGGAGGCAGCAGUGGGGAAUCUUGGACAAUGGGCGCAAGCCUGAUCCAGCCAUGCCGCGUGAGUGAAGAAGGCCUUCGGGUUGUAAAGCUCUUUUACCAGGGACGAUAAUGACGGUACCUGGAGAAUAAGCCCCGGCAAACUUCGUGCCAGCAGCCGCGGUAAUACGAAGGGGGCUAGCGUUGUUCGGAAUUACUGGGCGUAAAGGGAGCGUAGGCGGCUCUAUAAGUUGGAUGUGAAAGCCCCGAGCUUAACUUGGGAAUAGCACUCAAUACUGUAGAGCUAGAGAGUGAUAGAGGAUGAUGGAAUUCCUAGUGUAGAGGUGAAAUUCGUAGAUAUUAGGAGGAACACCAGUGGCGAAGGCGGUCAUCUGGGUCACUACUGACGCUAAGGCUCGAAAGCGUGGGGAGCAAACAGGAUUAGAGACCCUGGUAGUCCACGCCGUAAACGAUGAAUGCUAGACGUUGGGGGAGUUAUCCUUCGGUGUCGCAGCUAACGCAAUAAGCAUUCCGCCUGGGGAGUACGGUCGCAAGAUUAAAACUCAAAGGAAUUGACGGGGACCCGCACAAGCGGUGGAUUAUGUGGAUUAAUUCGAUGCAACGCGAAAAACCUUACCUACCCUUGACAUGCCAGGAACUUGCCAGAGAUGG
This 963-nucleotide ribosomal RNA is filed under the name Aestuariivirga sp. Its description in RNAcentral is "bacterial SSU rRNA". It matches the Rfam family "Bacterial small subunit ribosomal RNA", at positions 1 to 1009 of the family's 1533-position model. Lineage: Bacteria; Pseudomonadati; Pseudomonadota; Alphaproteobacteria; Hyphomicrobiales; Aestuariivirgaceae. The record is from RNAcentral.